Leptonychotes weddellii (Weddell seal) is the source of this 1063-nucleotide long non-coding RNA. RefSeq lists it as uncharacterized. The record is from RefSeq and is a predicted model, not a curated record. Lineage: Eukaryota; Metazoa; Chordata; Mammalia; Carnivora; Phocidae.
GGCAGGCGGAUACACGUGACGCGUGCCCCCUCUCCUGCGCUCUAGACCGGCGCGCAUCGCGCCGCGCACCUUGCAACGUGUGGCCGUCUGCAAAUCAGCAGUUCCCUUAACUUCACUUCCCAGACGGACCACUUGUCUUCUGGCUCCAGCUCUGAGGGAAAGGAAGGGAUGCUUUAUGAUUCCGUAUGUCUGAUGAGAAGACAGGGCACUUCCAUCAUGCAGGAGUGGAGGAUUUGGGAUCAACCCCCCAACAGGAAGGACCCUGUUUGGAAGAGAAGGUCAACUCUGAGGAAUGGAGCCCUGCUGUAAUUCAGGCCAAGACUUGGUUUUACCAGGGAUCAGAUUAUGGUGAGAGUCUCCUGGGACUGCCGCUUGGAAUGUCUUCAGGAUUCCAGAGGCUAAAAAUAUCUCCCCAAAGCCACCCCAUUGGCUUCCUUGUAAGGAGCUGGACUUAGCUGUGCGGUUGAAGGUUUGUGCCCACCAGGUGGCGCUCUACCCUUAAGUCUCCAGAUGCCUUUUUUAGGCGACAGAAGGACUCUCUUUUCUCCCUCUCAAUGUUUAUUUGGUUAGGUCCCCUACUCACAGAGGUAGUUUGUGUAGUGUAACCCCGUCAUCAGCCCAGCACCCAGAUUCAGCCCUCAGGUGCCUGUCCUAGCUCCAGCCCUUCUCAAGAUUGGCACCCUGAGGACAUCGAGGAUGUCCCGCCAGGGAUUGAUUGCUAAGGGAUGCUGAGUUUAGAAAGGCCCCAGAAUUGGGAUCAGAAGACCUGGGUUUGAGUCUCUACACUGACCUUUGCCAGUUCUGUUUCUUUGGGCAAGUUAUGUAACCUCUCUGGGUCCCUGUAACAGUGGCUGAGAAUAAAAUAUGAGAAAGUAUAUAUAAGCACUUUGAAUGUCACCUAGAGCCAGCCACACCUGGGCUCCUGUUUAAACUGUCACCCAUCAGCUCUGUGAACAUGGUCACCUUCCUUAACCCUCUGAGCCCUGGCUUCCCCACCAGCAAAUCAGGGAUAACAUUGCCUAGAAUAUAGGUGCGCCUGGCUGGCUCAGUCGGUAGAGCAUGU